Molecule: ribosomal RNA, 444 nt
Filed under: Acinetobacter baumannii
Lineage: Bacteria; Pseudomonadati; Pseudomonadota; Gammaproteobacteria; Moraxellales; Moraxellaceae
Description: bacterial SSU rRNA
Rfam family: Bacterial small subunit ribosomal RNA
Source: RNAcentral
GACGCUGGCGGCAGGCUUACACAUGCAAGUCGAGCGGGGGAAGGUAGCUUGCUACUGGACCUAGCGGCGGACGGGUGAGUAAUGCUUAGGAAUCUGCCUAUUAGUGGGGGACAACAUCUCGAAAGGGAUGCUAAUACCGCAUACGUCCUACGGGAGAAAGCAGGGGAUCUUCGGACCUUGCCGCUAAUAGAUGAGCCUAAGUCGGAUUAGCUAGUUGGUGGGGUAAAGGCCUACCAAGGCGACGAUCUGUAGCGGGUCUGAGAGGAUGAUCCGCCACACUGGGACUGAGACACGGCCCAGACUCCUACGGGAGGCAGCAGUGGGGAAUAUUGGACAAUGGGGGGAACCCUGAUCCAGCCAUGCCGCGUGUGUGAAGAAGGCCUUAUGGUUGUAAAGCACUUUAAGCGAGGAGGAGGCUACUCUAGUUAAUACCUAGGGAUAGUG